RNAcentral lists this ribosomal RNA (433 nucleotides) under uncultured bacterium. Its description in RNAcentral is "partial 16S ribosomal RNA". It matches the Rfam family "Bacterial small subunit ribosomal RNA", at positions 27 to 507 of the family's 1533-position model. The record is from RNAcentral.
GGAUGAACGCUGGCGGUAUGCUUACCACAUGCAAGUCGAACGGUACCUUCGGGUAUAGUGGCGGACGGGUGAGUAACGCGUGAGAAUCUAUCUUCAGGUCGGGGACAACAGUUAGAAAUGACUGCUAAUACCGGAUGUGCCGAAAGGUAAAAGAUUUAUUGCCUGAAAAAGAGCUCGCGUCAGAUUAGCUAGUAGGUGGUGUAAGAGACUACCUAGGCUUCGAUCUGUAGCUGGUCUGAGAGGACGAUCAGCCACACUGGAACUGAGACACGGUCCUGACUCCUACGGGAGGCAGCAGUGGGGAAUUUUCCGCAAUGGGCGAAAGCCUGACGGAGCAAUACCGCGUGAGGGACGAAGGCUCUUGGGUCGUAAACCUCUUUUCUCAAGGAAGAUUCAGACGGUACUUGAGGAAUAAGCAUCGGCUAACUCUGUG